UCACCCACAGCAACCAUGACUUUGAUCAGCGUCUUCAUCUGCACACUGGCCCUCUGGACUCAAGGAUCCAGAGGUCAGGUGACUGUGACUCAGACUCCUUCAGUGCAAACUGUUGCUCCAGGAAACACCGUCACCAUCAACUGUAGAACCAGCAGCAGAGUGGUUGGUGGUGAUGAACUACACUGGUACCUGCAGAAACCUGGAGAAGCUCCUAAACUCCUGAUCUAUGAAGCUACUAGGUUACAGUCGGGGACUCCAGCUCGUUUCAAAGGCAGUGGAUCUAAUACUGACUUCACUCUGACCAUCAGUGGAGUCCAGACUGAAGAUACAGGAGAUUACUACUGUCAGAGUUACCAUAGUGGUGGAGUGUUCACACAGUGUUAG
Molecule: non-coding RNA, 384 nt
Organism: Hemibagrus wyckioides
Lineage: Eukaryota; Metazoa; Chordata; Actinopteri; Siluriformes; Bagridae
Source: the annotation of a RefSeq genome assembly